UACGUAGGGUCCGAGCGUUGUCCGGAAUUACUGGGCGUAAAGAGCUCGUAGGUGGUUUGUCGCGUUGUUCGUGAAAACUCACAGCUCAACUGUGGGCGUGCGGGCGAUACGGGAAGACUAGAGUACUGCAGGGGAGACUGGAAUUCCUGGUGUAGCGGUGGAAUGCGCAGAUAUCAGGAGGAACACCGGUGGCGAAGGCGGGUCUCUGGGCAGUAACUGACGCUGAGGAGCGAAAGCGUGGGGAGCGAACAGG
This 253-nucleotide ribosomal RNA is filed under the name uncultured bacterium. RNAcentral describes it as "partial 16S ribosomal RNA". It matches the Rfam family "Bacterial small subunit ribosomal RNA", at positions 524 to 776 of the family's 1533-position model. The record is from RNAcentral.